Molecule: ribosomal RNA, 1295 nt
Filed under: Salmonella enterica subsp. enterica serovar Senftenberg
Lineage: Bacteria; Pseudomonadati; Pseudomonadota; Gammaproteobacteria; Enterobacterales; Enterobacteriaceae
Description: partial 23S ribosomal RNA
Rfam family: Bacterial large subunit ribosomal RNA
Source: RNAcentral
ACCAACCCGAUGCAAACUGCGAAUACCGGAGAAUGUUAUCACGGGAGACACACGGCGGGUGCUAACGUCCGUCGUGAAGAGGGAAACAACCCAGACCGCCAGCUAAGGUCCCAAAGUCAUGGUUAAGUGGGAAACGAUGUGGGAAGGCCCAGACAGCCAGGAUGUUGGCUUAGAAGCAGCCAUCAUUUAAAGAAAGCGUAAUAGCUCACUGGUCGAGUCGGCCUGCGCGGAAGAUGUAACGGGGCUAAACCAUGCACCGAAGCUGCGGCAGCGACACUGUGUGUUGUUGGGUAGGGGAGCGUUCUGUAAGCCUGUGAAGGUGUGUCGUGAGGCAUGCUGGAGGUAUCAGAAGUGCGAAUGCUGACAUAAGUAACGAUAAAGCGGGUGAAAAGCCCGCUCGCCGGAAGACCAAGGGUUCCUGUCCAACGUUAAUCGGGGCAGGGUGAGUCGACCCCUAAGGCGAGGCCGAAAGGCGUAGUCGAUGGGAAACGGGUUAAUAUUCCCGUACUUGGUGUUACUGCGAAGGGGGGACGGAGAAGGCUAUGUUGGCCGGGCGACGGUUGUCCCGGUUUAAGCGUGUAGGUGUGUGUUCCAGGUAAAUCCGGUUCACUUUAACACUGAGGCGUGACGACGAGGCACUACGGUGCUGAAGCAACAAAUGCCCUGCUUCCAGGAAAAGCCUCUAAGCAUCAGGUAACAUCAAAUCGUACCCCAAACCGACACAGGUGGUCAGGUAGAGAAUACCAAGGCGCUUGAGAGAACUCGGGUGAAGGAACUAGGCAAAAUGGUGCCGUAACUUCGGGAGAAGGCACGCUGACACGUAGGUGAAGUGAUUUACUCAUGGAGCUGAAGUCAGUCGAAGAUACCAGCUGGCUGCAACUGUUUAUUAAAAACACAGCACUGUGCAAACACGAAAGUGGACGUAUACGGUGUGACGCCUGCCCGGUGCCGGAAGGUUAAUUGAUGGGGUCAGCGCAAGCGAAGCUCCUGAUCGAAGCCCCGGUAAACGGCGGCCGUAACUAUAACGGUCCUAAGGUAGCGAAAUUCCUUGUCGGGUAAGUUCCGACCUGCACGAAUGGCGUAAUGAUGGCCAGGCUGUCUCCACCCGAGACUCAGUGAAAUUGAACUCGCUGUGAAGAUGCAGUGUACCCGCGGCAAGACGGAAAGACCCCGUGAACCUUUACUAUAGCUUGACACUGAACAUUGAGCCUUGAUGUGUAGGAUAGGUGGGAGGCUUUGAAGUGUGGACGCCAGUCUGCAUGGAGCCGACCUUGAAAUACCACCCUUUAAUGUUU